RNAcentral lists this transfer RNA (64 nucleotides) under Cavia porcellus (domestic guinea pig). It matches the Rfam family "tRNA", at positions 1 to 62 of the family's 71-position model. From Rfam's summary of the family: Transfer RNA (tRNA) molecules are approximately 80 nucleotides in length. The record is from Rfam by way of RNAcentral. Lineage: Eukaryota; Metazoa; Chordata; Mammalia; Rodentia; Caviidae.
AGGGAUUUAGCUCAGCGGCAUAAGCACCUGCCUUGCAAGCAGGUGGUCGUGAGUUCAAUCCCCA